Molecule: long non-coding RNA, 317 nt
Organism: Dreissena polymorpha
Lineage: Eukaryota; Metazoa; Mollusca; Bivalvia; Myida; Dreissenidae
Exons: 3
Source: RefSeq, a predicted model, not a curated record
AUUGGUUAACAAGUCCAGCUGAAUUGACAGGCCAUCAAAAACUGUACGGCAUGACUGAUUCGGAGGCGGCCCUCAACACUCGCCCAGUCGUGUCGAGAGGAUCGGUGUCUUUGCAGAAUACACGGAAUUGAGCACCUGGGCCAGACUGACACUUUCCGGAGCCUGUCCGAGACGGAACUCGAGCCGAGGAAUCAUAGGUCCAGGUGUGACAAAAGACUUAAAGCUCAUGUCUGACGAUGACUUUUUUUAGUCAGGAAGUCAAGUGUGUUGUUUUUUCAUGCAAGCAAGCCCUUUAUUUGGGUCAAAUGACAUUAGAA